AGCGAACGCUGGCGGCAUGCCUAACACAUGCAAGUCGAGCGCUCCCAGCAAUGGGGGAGCGGCGGACGGGUGAGUAACGCGUAGGAACGUAUCCUGAGGUGGGGGAUAACCCUGGGAAACUAGGGCUAAUACCGCAUGAUGGCGAGAGCCCAAAGAUUUAUCGCCUUGGGAGCGGCCUGCGUCUGAUUAGCUUGUUGGUGGGGUAACGGCCUACCAAGGCGAUGAUCAGUAGCUGGUCUGAGAGGAUGAUCAGCCACACUGGGACUGAGACACGGCCCAGACUCCUACGGGAGGCAGCAGUGGGGAAUAUUGGACAAUGGGCGAAAGCCUGAUCCAGCAAUGCCGCGUGGAUGAAGAAGGUCUUCGGAUUGUAAA
RNAcentral lists this ribosomal RNA (375 nucleotides) under uncultured bacterium. RNAcentral describes it as "bacterial SSU rRNA". It matches the Rfam family "Bacterial small subunit ribosomal RNA", at positions 29 to 429 of the family's 1533-position model. The record is from RNAcentral.